RNAcentral lists this ribosomal RNA (253 nucleotides) under uncultured bacterium. Its description in RNAcentral is "partial 16S ribosomal RNA". It matches the Rfam family "Bacterial small subunit ribosomal RNA", at positions 524 to 776 of the family's 1533-position model. The record is from RNAcentral.
UACGUAGGCAGCAAGCGUUGUUCGGAGUUACUGGGCGUAAAGAGUGUGUAGGCGGUUCUCUAAGUUUGGUGUGAAAUCUCCCGGCUCAACUGGGAGGGUGCGCCGAAAACUGGAGGGCUCGAGUGCGGGAGAGGAGAGCGGAAUUCCUGGUGUAGCGGUGAAAUGCGUAGAUAUCAGGAGGAACACCUGCGGUGUAGACAGUUCUCUGGACCGCCACUGACGCUGAGACACGAAAGCGUGGGGAGCAAACAGG